UUUUCUCCCAGAGGGACCGGUCUCUCCUCAGCAGGGACCGGUCUCUUGCUGCGAACCCGAGAAACCAACGUUCGGGAACCGGUCUCUCCCUGCGCGAGGCCGGUCUCUCACUGCGUAGACGCGCUCGGGGACCGGUCUCGCCCGCCAGGGACCGGUUGCCUCAGGGCUGCCGCAACACUGCUCACUGGGGGACCGGUCUCUCCUUUCAGGGACCGGUCCUCGAGAGUGAAAACUCUCAGGAUUCGUCCAGAAUUCAGGUUUUCGAACUUUUUAGGUCGAAAAGCAUUCUACAACCCUCCACCAAGUGUAGAAAAGCUCGAAAUACAUCCAAGCACUCGAACCUCGUAAUUGGCAGAGGUCCAGUGUGUUACAUUCAUCCCUCCUAAAAAGGAGUUUCGUCCGCGAAACUCGAAAUGACAAAUACCUCAAGCCUCCAUCUGAAAAAGAUGGGGAUAGCGCUCCCGCAGUGCGCUUUCCAGUUCCCAAGUGGCCUCGCGCUCGUCGUGGUUGCUCCAAAGCACCUUCACGUAGGGAAUCUCGCGGUUCCGCAAUCGUUUUACCUCGCGAGCCAAAAUCCUCAAAGGUUGCUCCUCAAAGCUCAAGUCCUCCCUCAGCUCUAAAGAAGUAGCGUCCAAAACAUGAGCCGGGUCGUGGAUGUACUUCCGAAGGACCGAUACAUAGAACACAUUGUGUACACCCGAUAGGUUUGGCGGUAGAGCGAGUCGAUACGCUACCGGGCCUACACGCUCCAAAACCUCAAACGGUUCGAUAAAUCGGGGGCUCAACUUACCCCGGAUUCCAAAUCUUCUAAUUCCUUUGGUCGGCGAGACUUUCAAGAACACAUGGUCUCCAAUCUGAAAUUCCAAGUCUCAUCGACGCCGAUCAGCAUAACUCCUCUGCCUACUCUGGGUUGUCAACAAUCGCUCCCGAGCAAUGCGAACCUUGUCCUUUGCUUCCUGGAGCACAUCUGGGCCUAAAGCCAUUCUCUCGCCAACUUCACUCCAAUGAAGUGGCGAUCUACACUUCCCUCCAUAGAGUGCCUCGAAUGAUGCCAUCUUGAUGCUUGCUUGAUAACUGUUGUUAUAAGCAAACUCUGCUAUCGGUAGAUGCUGCGACCAUCCUCCCUGGAAGUCAAUCACGCAGGCUCGAAGCAUGUCCUCGAGAGUCUGAAUAGUACGCUCCGACUGCCCGUCACUCUGGGGGUGGAAAGUAGUGCUGAAAUCCAAGCGCGUACCCAAAGCAUCCUGAAGGCUCUUCCAAAAGUGAGGUACAAAACGGGGGUCUCGAUCUGAAACGAUAGAAGUAGGUACCCCGUGUAAUCGCACAAUCUCAUCCAAAUAAACCUGUGCGAGUCUCUCACCAGUCCAAGUAGUGUGGAUCGGUGUGAAAUGUGCCGAUUUCGUCAAUCUAUCCACGAUCACCCAAAUAGCAUCAUGCCCGGCCCGUGAGCGAGGCAAUCCCAUCACGAAAUCCAUGGUGAUCUUUUCCCACUUCCACACUAGAAUCGGUAGGCUCUACAACUUCCCCGCAGGAACUCGGUGCUCAGCCUUCACCCGUUGGCAAGUUAAACAUCUAGCCACAAACUUACCAACAUCCUUUUUCAUUCCGGGCCACCAAUAAAGCAACUUCAAGUCCUUGUACAUCUUGGUGCCUCCAGGAUGUAUAGCAUACGGUGCUCGGUGUGCUUCUUGAAGGAUAUCCUCUUUAAUGCCCAAGUCCGCCGGUACACAAAGUCGUCCGCGGAAACGCAUCAAUCCAUUACCAUCUAAAGUGAAGUCACCGGUGCAACCAUCAACCAUUUUAGCUCGAAUCUUUUGCAACUCCGAGUCGGAAGCUUGCUUUUCUUUAAUCCUUUCCAAAAGUGUGGGUUGCACCACCAAAGUCAUCAGUCUCAAAGGUGUAUCAGGAGCCACCACCUCCAACUCCAACCGCUUCAUCUGCUCGAUCAACGGCGGUUGAGUAACCACAAGCAUCGCUAAGUUCUCAGUCGAUUUCCGACUUAGCGCAUCCGCCACCACGUUAGCCUUGCCCGGGUGGUAAAGUAUCGUCAAAUCAUAAUCCUUGAGUAGCUCCAACCAUCUGCGCUGCCUCAAGUUCAACUCCUUUUGAGUGAAUAAAUACUUUAAACUCUUGUGAUCCGUAUAUACUUCACACCGCUCGCCAUAAAGAUAGUGGCGCCAUAGCUUCAAAGCAAAGACUACGGCCGCCAACUCCAAGUCGUGAGUAGGGUAAUUAUUUUCAUAAUCCUUCAAUUGGCGAGAUGCAUACGCGAUCACUUUCCCGUCCUGCAUCAAAACACAGUCCAAUCCAUUAAAGGAAGCAUCACUAUAAAUCACAUACCCAGCUCCAGCUGUCGGCAAGGUAAGGAUUGGGGCGGUCGUCAACCUCUGCUUCAACUCUUGGAAGCUCCUUUCACACACGUCGUUCCAAAUGAACUUAGUUCCCUUAUGCGUGAGCCUCGUGAGGGGAGUAGAUAACUUUGCAAAUCCUUCGACGAACCGUCGAUAAUAGCCGGCCAAACCAAUGAAGCUCCUUAUCUCGGUUACGCUCGUCGGCCUUGGCCAAUCCUUGAUAGCUUCUAUUUUCCUCGGGUCCACGGCUAUGCCUGAUCCUGAAAUCAAAUGGCCUAAAAACGCCACCUCUCUAAGCCAAAAUUCACACUUUUUCAACUUGGCAUAGAGCUUCUUUUUUCGAAGCACUUGAAGUACAAGUCUCAAGUGUUCAUCGUGAUCCACAUCACUUCGGGAAUAGACCAAAAUGUCGUCGAUGAACACCACGACAAACCUGUCUAAAUAAGGCUUGAAAAUACGGUUUAUUAAAUCCAUAAAAGCUGCUGGGGCAUUAGUAAGCCCAAACGGCAUAACGGUAAACUCAUAAUGUCCAUACCGUGUUCUAAAAGCCGUCUUCGAUACAUCCUCAGGUCUGAUCCUCAACUGAUGGUAUCCCGACUGCAAGUCGAUCUUGGAGUAUACACAAGAUCCCUGGAGCUGAUCAAAUAGAUCAUCAAUCCUCGGUAAUGGAUACUUGUUCUUGAUCAUGACUUUAUUAAGUUCACGAUAGUCCACGCACAAGCGAAGUGAUCCAUCCUUCUUCUUCACAAACAAAACCGGUGCUCCCCAAGGUGACACACUCGGUCUCACGAAACCCUUGUCCAGAAGAUCUUGCAACUGUGCCUUCAGCUCCUUCAAUUUUGCUGGUGCCAUCCUAUAGGGUGCCUUUGAGAUUGGAGUAGUCUCGGAAACGAGAUCUACCACAAACUCAACUCCCUAUCAGGUGGCAUGCCUGGAAGCUCCGCUGGAAACACAUCUCCAAACUCCCGCACUACGGGGAUAUCCUCAAUCCUAGGGGUGUCAUCCACACCCCGCAACACUACAGUAGCCAAAUAGGCUACGCAGCCUCUACUAAUCAACUGCCUAGCUCAAGAGAAGCUAAUCGUCAUCGCAAACAGCGAACUCUGGCAUCCUCGGUACACAACCUCCGCCUGCCCCAGCUCUCUAAACAUCAUCGUCCGAUUCUUGCAAUCGAUAGUGGCGAAAUACUUAGUCAACCAAUCCAUGCCCAACACGACAUCAAACUCCCCGAGUUUAUGCAAAGCUAGCAAGUCCACGGGCAUGAUCCAAUCUCCAACGCGAACAGGGCAACUGGGGCAAAAGUUCUGAAUGUCCAAAGAAUGAUCGGGUACAACAACUCGUCCCGGGUGCAACAAGGAUACAAGUGGGAUGCCAUGCAACUCGGCAAACAGCCGGUCUAUGAAUGAAUGCGAUGCACCGGUAUCAAACAAAGCUCUAGCUCGAAUACCAUAAAGUAAAAUGAUACCUGCGACCACAUUCUCGGCUGCCGCCACUUUCUCAGUCUGGGCCGCGUACAUGCGCCCGCUCAGGGCCUGUCGUGACCCCUCCACCUGUCGCUGAACUGGCGGCCGCCCUGCCUGGUGAUGCGCAGAAGAUGUCCCCUGACUAGGACCUGGCGAUGCUGGUGCAGAUGCCGAAGAUGGCGCUGGCAAUGAGCUCCUCGGGAAGUCCGACUGGAAGUGGCCCUCCUGGCCACACAAGAAGCACCUGCCCCGGCUGCGUGAACACUGCCGCGGGUAAUGAGGACCGCCACAGAUCACGCAGCGGGGUGCCUGGCGACGAUCGAGUCCUCAUCGCUGAGUAGACUGGCCACGUCCUCGUGACUGGUUCUGACUUCUAGGGUGCCUCGGCGGCCUCCGUGAGUGCGUCUGGCUCGCACCCUCAGCCGCGGGCCUCUUUCCCUUGCCCUUGUCUAGGGCCUCGCGUCGCUCCUGAAGGUCUACCGCUCUAGCCUCCACAAUGAGUGCACGGUCCACAACCUCCAGAUAGGUUUGGAGGUUGGAGGACUACACCAACCGAAAGAUCGAAGGCCGCAAUCCACGCUCAAAGAUGCGGGCCUUGUCCUCAUCGUCCCGGACCACAAAAGGUACACAGUGGAGUAGCCGAGAAAACUCUCUCUCGUACUCGGCCACUCACCACUCGUCCUGGCGCAAGCUACGCAAAUUCUGCUCCAUCUUCCUCUUGACGCUGGUAGGAAAGUGGUGCGCCAGUAGAAGCUCCUUGAAUCGUGUCCAAGUAAUUGCCGCCAAGUCGGUGUUGGGGUUGUCCUGGAUAUCCAGCCACCAACGAUAGGCCUCGCCGUCCAGAAAGUGAGUGGCGAGCCAAACUCUGUCCCUCUCCUCGACGAAGGUAUCUCGAAACAGCUUCUCCAUGUCAGCAACCACUUCUCAACAAUCCAGUGGUCGAUGUUCUCGCCAUCAAACGUCCUCGGGCUGUACCUCCUAAACUCACUGAGGCGAUCCAUGAGCCGAUCCGGCUCGGCUCCCUCGGCCAUCACGGGAAAUGCCGCCUCCUUCGCUGGUCUCUGAACAGGUAGUGCUGCAGCCACCUCCUCCCGAGGUGCGGUCGCCGGUGCCGGACGUGAAGAACUGGGCGCGGGGGACUGCGCCCUCGGUGUGACGUCCACUACGGGUGCUGGCGGUGUAGGACCUUGGGUCUCCCUCGAAGCUGCUGCCUGCUGAAGUAGGAGGUCCUCAAGAUGCUUCAUUUGCGCCUCCUGCCGCUGAGCCACCUCAGCCUGUCGCUGCGCCGCUGUCGUCUGCUGCGCCAACAGAUCAGUGAGAACCGAAAGCUAGGCCCUCAAGUCACGGACCUCACUAGAUCUAGAAGUAGCGGAGGUCUCGACCUCCUCGGGAUGUGCCGCAUCAUCCGCCCCGGCAGACUGGGAGCGUGUAAUCGGCAUCGUCACUACAGAACAUAAAAGUGCAAGUUAGUAACCCACACUAUCGAAUCCCCGCUCAAAAGAUAAAACUCAAAUCAUGCGAAAGUAAGGAAGUGUCCUUCACUACUAACUCCCGAUGUUACGUUGUCGGCCGCCAACGUAACCCUCCGCGAAGUCAGAAGCCAUACACUGAUCAAACUCUAACUUUUUAGAGUUAUAAUAAACCGAAUCGAAAUACUUUCGCUCACAAGUCAAUUAGACCUCGUCUCUCACGAGCCUAAUUCCUAUAGUCCAACCGGCCUAAGGUUCGCUAGGUCCACUAAGACUCAACUCUAGGCUCUAAUACCAAAUUAAUCUGUCACGCCCCGAGACCGGCGAAGGCCCUCCCGGUAGCGCGCCCAGACCAGCCAUAUGUCUACACAUAUAAGGCGUCUACAACAAAAGCGGAAGUAAAGCAAGGAGUAGAACAAAUAGCAUAGUGAUAACUAAUGAUAUCAGAGCGAGUAAAGUUCUAUCAUCUAAAUCAGAGUAAAAGAAACAUAACUAAACAAUAAAAGUAGCCAUAAAGUAGUACAAUACUGUCUCCUCAAAAGAAAAACAAAGAUCCAAAAGAAUGGUGGUCUCUAUACAUAAACGGGUACAACUCACAACCUCUCACAAAAUAAAACCACGAGAGGUAGACCACCUAUCAAAUCGUCCUCGAAGGAAGCUAGCUCGAAGCAACUCCCUUCCCGCGGUCCCUAGCCUCUCCCGGCGUGGAAGGCUCUGAAAGAAAACAUAAAACAGAGGGCGUGAGAACUAUAAUUUAUAGUUCCCAGUGGGCAAUUACUGACCUCAGCUCAUUGCACCACUAGGCCCAAAAGAAAAGGGUAAGUCAAAAGCAAUAGCAAUAACGAGUAAUUUGCAUCUAUGAAAGUAUAAUGAAAAUGCUAAAAUAUUACUUGCAAUUAAACAUGGCAUUUAUGUAAUGCACAAUUAUCUUGUCAUGGAGAAUAUGUCUCUACUUAGCCAUAAAUAAUGUCAUGGUUUGCUUAAUGAAAUUAUGAGGAUUAUCCUUUAUCAUAGCAACAUUGUUUAUAUGAAUGCAAGUAAGCAAUGUCUCCUAGCAUACAACAUGUAUGUAUGUAUACCCAAAGUCCAAAUCUAUACUAGAAGCAAGUCCGAGUAAUCCAACUACUACUCUCUAUUUAGUAGUGAUUAUAACAAACUCACCCCGUGUCGAUUUCCAUUUCCCAUUAAGGACCUACCAAAGGUAGUCCAGCUUGUGCCGCCUAAGUGCCUGUGGUAGCCCAACAUCCCUGCUCUUGGAAUGUGUCUGUCCCACUCGACCGCGUAGGCUUAUAAAUACCGCACGAGCAAACAUAAGUCCGUAGGCUAACUCCGGAGUGCCAGCUUGUAGGGAGCGACCCUCACGAGCAUGUGCGAAUGAGCACAAAUGGCAAGCAAGCAAGGUCAAAGUCUCAAGUACUCUACGCUCAUGCCUCUCACAUAGCAAGGUCACUAGCAUCCCAAGGAUCUAGUCCAAAGUCUCAAAGUGACGCUCCAACGCACAUACUUGCUUAGUGCCUCUUUAUGACACUUAAGCAUCACAACUAAUCAUGCCCAAUUCAUGUUCCAUAUUUCAAUUAAAACAAUACUAGCUAGGUUCACUUUGGCCCGGGCCCAAUGCCUCUUUAUGACAUUGGCCCAAUCUCUCAAAUAGUCUAAGUCCUCAAGACUCUCUAGGCUUCCAAAAAUCCCUAAUGUCACAAGUGGCAAAUAAGCUAAAUGCAUGAAAGCAAGGUCCAUUUUCAUAAUAGGGAUCUUAGUUUCAGUCUCAACCAGAAUGCUAUAUCACACAUGCAUGCUCUCUACUACAUAGAGGCCCAAAAUUUUACUAUAUGCAACAUAGGCAUUUUAAGCAUUCUAAAAUUCACAAUAAAUACAUAUAACAAGAAUAUGCAUGCUUUUUCAUUUUAUAACACUUAAAUCAUCAACAAUGAGAUUUUCUCAUUGUGUGGCUAGGUCAAACCCACCGAACCGUCGCGUGCUCCUUCGAUUCGCCGAACGGAGUUGUCCACGAGUCUCAAAAUACCCUAAAAGUAUUGAGCGAAGAGAUACACGGGCAUUACGAUCAACUAUAGGAUCAAACAUUAACCAUCUCAAAAAUAGGGUCAAAACUCACCUCUAGUGCAAAAUCUCUUCCUAAGCUCCAAAAGAGAGCUAAAUCCCUUCCAAUCCAACCCAAAGGAAGGCUCUAAUCCAAGUGAUCAAGCUCCAAAAGCCCUAGAUCAAAAAGCCCCAAAAUCAACCCUAAAAUCUCAUUCUAGGGUUCCAACACAAGAAAACCUCAAAUCCAAAGUCUAGAUGGAGAGAAAGGGCUACCAACCUCUAAGAAGCUUCAAUCCAAGCUCAAAGGGUGAAGAUCUUCUCUCUUGCAAGCUCCAAGUCCAAGCACCAAGCACCAAGGAAGAAGAUAGGGUGAGGAAGAUGCUCCAAGUCCACUAGUAGCUCUCAAACUUCUUCUUCUUCCCUCCUUCUUCCCCUUCUCCUUCUUCUUCUUCUUCUCUAUCAAGGGUGUAGAGAGAGUUGAGAGAAGAGAAAUGGGGAGAAGAGAGAGUGGAUGGGUCAUAUAGACCCUCUAUUGUAACAAAAUCCAACUAGGUCCCUCAAAAUUCUAAUAUUGCAACAGCCCGGUCUGGGCAGUUUUCGCCCAGAGGGACCAGUCUUUCCCCAGCAGGGACCGGUCUCUCGCUGCGAACCCGAGAAACCAACGUUCGGGAACCGGUCUCUCCCUGCGCGGGACCGGUCUCUCACUGCGUAGACGCGCUCGGGGACCGGUCUCGCCCGCCAGGGACCGGUUGCCUCAGGGCUGCCACAACACUGCUCACUAGGGGGCCGGUCUCUCCUUUCAGGGACCGGUCCCCGAGAGUGAAAACUCUAAGGACUUGUCCAGAAUUCAGGUUUUCGAACUUUUUAGGUCGAAAAGCAUUCUAC
Molecule: long non-coding RNA, 8208 nt
Filed under: Ananas comosus (pineapple)
Lineage: Eukaryota; Viridiplantae; Streptophyta; Magnoliopsida; Poales; Bromeliaceae
Description: long non-coding RNA (ACOM_LNC012110)
Source: RNAcentral